Molecule: ribosomal RNA, 533 nt
Filed under: Aspergillus sp. 31a
Lineage: Eukaryota; Fungi; Ascomycota; Eurotiomycetes; Eurotiales; Aspergillaceae
Description: partial 18S ribosomal RNA
Rfam family: 5.8S ribosomal RNA (bases 203-356)
Source: RNAcentral
CUGCGGAAGGAUCAUUACCGAGUGAGGGCCCUCUGGGUCCAACCUCCCACCCGUGUCUAUCGUACCUUGUUGCUUCGGCGGGCCCGCCGUUUCGACGGCCGCCGGGGAGGCCCUGCGCCCCCGGGCCCGCGCCCGCCGAAGACCCCAACAUGAACGCUGUUCUGAAAGUAUGCAGUCUGAGUUGAUUAUCGUAAUCAGUUAAAACUUUCAACAACGGAUCUCUUGGUUCCGGCAUCGAUGAAGAACGCAGCGAAAUGCGAUAAGUAAUGUGAAUUGCAGAAUUCAGUGAAUCAUCGAGUCUUUGAACGCACAUUGCGCCCCCUGGUAUUCCGGGGGGCAUGCCUGUCCGAGCGUCAUUGCUGCCCUCAAGCACGGCUUGUGUGUUGGGCCCCCGUCCCCCUCUCCCGGGGGACGGGCCCGAAAGGCAGCGGCGGCACCGCGUCCGGUCCUCGAGCGUAUGGGGCUUUGUCACCUGCUCUGUAGGCCCGGCCGGCGCCAGCCGACACCCAACUUUAUUUUUCUAAGGUGACCUC